RNA transcript from Vicia villosa (hairy vetch), 7700 nucleotides. RefSeq lists it as uncharacterized. The transcript has 3 exons. NCBI's taxonomy places the organism in Eukaryota, Viridiplantae, Streptophyta, Magnoliopsida, Fabales, Fabaceae. The record is from RefSeq and is a predicted model, not a curated record.
GCGCGUCAGAUACACGACUAAUACUUAAUUAACAAAAUCCAAUCUAAGUAACACUACUUUCUUGUUUCCUUCUCAAUACGUUUGACUUUGCACCAAACAUGAUUGAAGUUGAAGAACGAUUUAUCCUCAACAAGGACAAUGAGGACAGUAACAAAUGUAUUAAGAAGAAAUCUCCAUUAACAUUGAAGUUGGUACUUUUUGUCUUAUCUUCUGUUAAUGCAAUAUACAUUUGUUCAACUAAUUUGGAGCAACCAAUGGUUUUCAUUCGUGCAACAGCUAAAUUGUUGGAACUAAGAGUCACCGAUCAGUCAUGUCAUCCUUCUCAUCUUGAAGAUUUGGAACUCCCUUAUGUGUAUUUUCCUCACCCAGGUAAGAAAAUGUCUAACUAUUUCUUAUUCCACCUAUUAAUAAUCCAACAUCUUAAAAGUCGGUUUUGAAAAAUAGUAUCUAAGAAAUUAUCGGGUCGAGUAUAGGGAUGGCAAAUAUAUUGAUAUUCAAUGAAUACCUACAACAAAUACUAAUAAGUAGGGUAAAAAUCCAAAAAAUAAUAUGGACGUGGAUAUUAGUAAUUACCCAUUAAAAUAAGCAGAUUAGAGUAUAGGUACGGAUACCUUAGUACCCACACCGCUCCAUACUAAUAAAUGUAUAUUCAUGUAUUUUAAUUUAUAUUAUCAUAUAAAAAAUAUGUCUCUCUCUUUUAAAAAAACACACCACAAUUAAACUAUUGCACAUAUUAAUAUAGGUGUUUGUUUAUUUCAUAAUUCAACAAUAAAUUUUUUGAUUUUUUUGUUAAUUUUGUUAAAAAAUUAAAAUGAUAUGAUAUUUUUUUAAUUGAUAGAUUUAUUUUUACUAGAACUACGGAUAACUGGUACGAGUACUUAGGUACUCAUAUGGUACAAGUAUGGGUAUAAAAUGUUGGUGCCCACAUGGGUACGGGAAUUUUUUCAAACUGCGGCUAUGGAGAUGGGUACUAUAGUAACUUAUCCAAACCCUACCCAUUGACAUCCGUAGUCGAGUCAGGAAUUAAGUCGCUCUUUUUAAAAUCUUUCACGACCCUGCCCAAAAUUGUGAAGACAGACUAUCAUCUACGACGCCUCCAAAAUAAAACAACUCAAUUCAAUACUAUGGUUAUUGAUUACUACUGCACAAUGUAUAAUCGAUCUAGAAAUACACUCUCUAGGAUACAAAUAUCACUCUUUAAUAAUUUCUCAAAAGAGAAGUUCAAAUAAUUUUUCAAAAAAAAUUCAAUAAUGGUCGUUUGACCAACUUAGAUAAUUUUCCAAAAGAGCGGAAAUUUAAAUAAUUCUCCUAAGAGAAUUCAAGAAAAUACUCGAAAAAAUCAACGAGUAGAAAGAAAAUGAAGAUGUUGACGCUCUAACAAUUUGUGAGCAUAGAGUAAGAGAGUAAGGAAGGAAAAACUCAAAAGUAGUUUUAGUAUGUUUUGGAAUGUAACGUGUGCAUUUUUUAUAUAAUGAAAUAAACUAGCUAAGAUAUGUAAACUAAAUGCGACUUAGAAUUUUCUUUUUAUUAUAUAAUAGUGAAAACUAACUUUAAUGUCUAAGCUAAGCAAUGUGAGACUUAGAAUUUUCUCAAUUAACACAAACACAAAGUUUUUUUAAAUGUGGAAUUUAAUAAUUUUUUUCUUCAAAUUCAUCCUCCAUAUUAGAAUUUUGACAUGUUCUAACACAAUAGCAUAAUCAUGUGCACUUAUUGUUCUUGAAAUGAUAAAGGUCCUGUCAAACAGACACAAUUAUAAGGCCAUACCCAAAGCAACAUCGAAAAAGGACAACGAACAAGUGGAACCAUGCUAGAAAGUUGGACAUCUGAUUCGAGUUAACAAUGCAUCAGCCACAUGUUACCAUGCAUCAGCCACAUGUUAUAUCAUGUAUUAUCAUUCUACUCCAUUAUUAUCUCAAUGGCUUUGGCGUUUAGUGUUAACCUUACAGGUCCACCCUCACUACAUCGCACCAAAGAUUCUCACCACUAUACCUAGAAGAUUUUCUCCCUUAACAGACCAAUCUCUUUUUUGUGACCAAAACACCAAUGUCAUCUGUAGGAAACAAAUUCUAAUUCUAGGAAAUUUCCAAAAAAAUCCAUCAUCUCUUAAUCGCUGCAUCAAACAAACAUUUCUUCUCUGCUAUUCUUUGAUCAACUAUGUAUCAACUAUGGUGGCAUCUAAGUCUGCUCAUAUCACAACUCAAGGUAACGCCAACAUCGCCUCUGAAGUGACGAAUAAUGCUUUCGACCUCUGUUGGCUGGGAUUUUUGACCUGAGCUAAAAUCCAGCGAAAGAGAAUGAAAAGCAUUGUGAGAGAAAUAUUCUCAAGUCGAACCACAUUUGGUCGACUAAGAAACCAAAAGGAAAAAUAGCUUAUCAGGCUUAUAAGUACUUAAAAGCCCAAGAAGCGGGCAAAAGGCCCAAAAGAUUCAAAUAAAAAGUAUAUUUCAUGCAGGUUGAAGUUUUGGAGGGAAAAGACACCUGAAUGUAUAACGUGGAAGCGUGGGAUGGAAGUUAAGGUGAAGAACGUGGGGUUCUUAAAGAAGUCGACAACCUCACCAAAGUAGUUAUUUUUAUGCACUAUAAAUAAAGAACUUUGUGCAUAGCUUUAGAGGUUCACAAUUUUACAAACGCCUGCACGCUGUAACACUCCGAGUACCCAAGCGAACGAGCGAAAUGAGUCAAGCAAGGGCUAUGUAUGUUUAAACCAUCUACUUUUCUGCAAAUUUUAAAUGUUAUGUCAUUUAUCUUUUACUCUUUUCGUUUUCCUUUGUUCAUUUGUGGUUUGAUUUUCACCAAAUACGUUUUUACAAAAAAUAUCGUUCUGAGUGUGUUAGACGUCGUGUCGAACACCCUCGUUUUUGUAACUAAAACAAAAGAACUUCUCACAAAAAUUAUUGCAAACAAAAGCACUAUUCUGAGAUUCUCUGGUCGAUCUCGCAAGUAACCUUUAAAAAGAGACUAGCGAAGUUUACCAAAACCCGAGGUGGACAACCCCGCAAGAAAAGCUUUGCCUUCUACAGAAUGAGGAAUCAAUCCAGUCCUCAUGACUUCUCCCAUCGUUUUGAUUUCUUAAGCUUUGGUUCCUCCGCUUAUGUGCAAAAGAAAAUUUCUGAUCUUGCCGAUCUUUCAACCUCUCCAACAGUUACACGUAGGUCAAACAUCUAAACAACUACAAUCACACGUUCCUAGAUCAGAGAUGCUCCAAAGCCUCCAGCAACUCCAAGCCAAUAUUGGCAUGCAAGGAGGCGAAAUGAACUUCUCACUAGCAUAUACAACUUGGCGCAACAACACAAUGCCCAUCUCUUAAACUAAAUACUCCUCAGAAUAAAAAGAGAACCUACAACACGCUCGAUCUUGAGAUUGCUCGCUGCGGGAAGUGACAUUACGCAAUAAUUACGAAACCUCGCCUAAACCGAUCCUCAUUAACACCGUCUCUUUGUAUCGAUUUGUUUCUAAAUUGUCACCUAUAUCAGACACACCACUCUCCAUCACAUGACUUGGGGGGAGAGGUGACAUCCAUACUCCCUCUAAAGAACGUCAACCCAGAAGAUCUAUGUUACGCCACCCUUAGGAAUGGGACAAGCGAGACAUCAAAAUACAAAUUUUUGAUCAAAGAAGAAACCAAAGAUUUAGGCACAUCCUUGAUAGUCCGAUCCUAAUAUUUCUCAAUAAGCUCCCUAAGUUGGAUAAUUAUGACGAGAUCGGAGAUCUAGAUGAACAUAUUGAUCAAGUGGAUACUAUGCUUGAUUGUCACAAUGCCGUGAGUGCGGUGAAACGCAAAUUAUUUGUCUUGACUCUCAAAGGAGCAGCCGUGACAUGGUGCAAAACGUUUCCUAAUAGAUGUAUAAAUAGCUCCUACAAAAUCUCUAUGAUUCCUUCACAACUUAAUUUACAUCCCAAAAACGGCAGCCCAAGACUAUUGUCUUCCUCAGCAAAAUCCAACAUAAAAAAAAGGAAAUUCAGAGGAAAUACAUUGAUCGAUUUACCAAGGUAUCUGUCGAAGUAAGGGAUCAAAUGAAUUACUGAAAUGUUGGAUAUUUGGAAAAGGAUUAAAAGCAUACUAUAUGUUUAACGAGAAUUUAAGGAAGGAAGGUGUUAGAGGCAUGAGUGACCUCCCCGCCAGGGCAAAACCGUACAUUAACUAUAAAGAAAUAUUCUAGAUGAAAAGAGGAAAUAAGUUGAGGAUAAUUGAACCUGGAAAAUAACCGAUCAAUUGAAAGAGACCUCAACCGAUGUCGAGACGACGGAGACCAAGGUCCCUAAGCCAUAUUUUCAACCUACACGCCCCCUCAAUACAUCUAAGGAGAAGAUCUUGCAAGAAUUCUCAAACACUGAUUUCAAGGAAACGGAAAUAAAGAAUCCUCGACUCUUAAAAUAAUUGUCAUGACUUAUAAGAUGAGAUUUUUUUUCGAUUUCAAAUGAGCAAUGAACAUAAUACAAAUGAGUGUGUAGCCUGAAAAAUGCAAUUAAGGAACUGAUUAAAAAAUGAAGCUUAAACUAGUACACCAAGGAAAACGUACAGAAGGAAAAUUAUGGGAUAAAAAGAAAAUAUAAAAGGUGAGACGAGUCAUCAAGGAAGAAGCAAUUGCCUCGUCGAGAGAAUGUGUCCCUAAAAAAGACAAUUGAUGUCGUGAUAGAGGGAAAAGGAACACAAUAUAGCAGUUACAAGGAGGAUGAAGAUGGAGGAGGAAAAAUGUCAAUUAAUAGCCUUUAUCACCAGAGGUUUUUGCUGCCUAAAUAUCCCAUCAAAAGGAAUGUUCAAGAAAGAAGAUGUAGCUUCUAAAAGCAAGUCAGAAAGACUUAUCCUUGGAUUCAAAGAUAGUGAAAUAGUGGGUGGCAUCACAAAUGAGAAUUUUCCCUUGAUUACAACGACGACUAUUGCCAACUUUGAUGUUUCAUGGAUCCUUAUCAACGGGGGAAGCUCGUAUGAUAUCAUGUGCACCAAAUUCUUUGAAAAGUGGAACUUGAAAUAAAAAGGUUAUCGCCUUAUACAUGCUCCAACCUAAUGCUAUCAUUGGCACAAUAACCCGUUCAUGAGAUAUUUUUAGAUUUCAUGGUCACGCUUGGAGAAGGAAAAGACACCAGGACAAUAGACCUACAAUUCUCUAUGGUUCCGUGCAAAAGUGUGUACAACUGCAUUUUGGGUAGACCUUUCACUGCAACACUAGAUAUUGUGGCCUCCAUGAUUCAAUUGAAGAUGAAAUACUAUAACUUCCAUGAUGAGUCUAUGACAAUAUGCGCCAGCAAAUCUAGAGCUCGGAAAAUACGCAAAUCUUUGUAGCACAACAAGGACGUGACACCUACUAAAAAGGGGAAAGAAAAUGUGUUGGAAAAGUCAACAUCGCCAAUCUCCACAAGCGCUUAGAGGAGAUGGUAGUCAUUUCUCAUAGCAGAGGACGGGCUCUCUAACAGUUAUAGUAUGAAGAAUCCUAACUCAAUCAAUGCAAGUGACGUCAUCAAGAAAAUAGCUUGUCAUUUGGUUCUGAAAAAAUAAUCAAGGAACAACGCUGAAGCAACUUAGAGUCCAUUACAACACUCGACCCAAGAGACUAUAAUGAUAAUAAAUCUACUACUAAGGAGAAAAUAUCUGGACCAAUAAGACGAAAAUUAUAUCAUGAUAGCUAAGUACUUUUAACCAUACAUUCAAAGGUUCAUUUUAUUUUAUAAUCAUUUUCUUUCAGUAGUGAAUAAAUCCUUCGCUAAAUUCCUUUCUUUACUGUCAUGAAAAGACAAGUAUGGAUAAAGGGUGUUGUUGCAAACACCAUGAAUGUGUGACUAAAGCAAUCAAACAUCCACAACGAAAGUCAGUUAAUCAAAGACACCAAACCUAGAAAUAAAAUAUGGUGAUACGGGUUUACCCCCUCCUCUUGGUAACUAGUCACUCCAUGGUGCUUGAGGUGAAACCUUAUUACGCGGGCCUAGAACUUAGUCUAAACUUAGGGGUAGGAAAGAAGAGUAGACCCUUGGUCGCGCGAGCUCCUUAGAGACGUCUAGUAAAGCUUCUAAGCACAAUCACGCGAAUGAGCAGGGAAGAAUGUUGCUUAGAAAUCCUGUUUAAGAGCAUAAACAUUCAUGAAGAGGAAGAAUACAUUUAUUGUAUGUACUCCACAGUCUUUUAACAUAUUCUGGAGAGAGCGCCCUUCCACUCCGAGGAGGAACACACCCCGGUAAAAGCUUGGUACAUACCUCCUUUAUUGGAAAAAAUAGAAAUGAUGAGUCUUCGUCUUUAGACUCUCAAGCGAUCCGACAAUUACUUUGGUCCAUCUCGGUUUCACUGCCAAUACAUUAAAAAAAACGAUAGUGAGUUUAAGCAUGAGACUGAGAUUCCAACCACCACAUCACUUCAAUGUCAUUAGGAUCAAGACCAACAACCAACCCUCUAUCUUUGACGACAAUAUAUUAUUUCGAGACCUUCAUACAAAUCUUAAUAGCAACUCGAACGAUUAAUAAGUGGGCAUAAUAAAAAGAAGGCAAAGUAAUUACCUUUAAGACAAGCAACUCCCGAUAUGUGUGAGAACCAAGUCGCCUGAGCACCACGAAAGAUGUUGGAAGAAGAAGAAAGUGAUACACAGAUCCUUAAACCUCACAGGCAAUGAAAAAGAAAAUAUGAUCAAAUUCACCCUUUAGCCUUCAUAUAUUGAUUGUAGAAGACCACACGAUCUGCAAUUAAAUAUUUAGGAAAGCACAUCAUUACCACAAACUAUCUUGAUUGAACCUCACUAGAGAGUCGGGCACCUGACCUGAGUUAUUGAUGCAUCAACCACCGUCAAAUCUGAUCGGACAGCUUCCCGUGAAACACACUGGAUCAAGUAGGAACAAUUUUAAACGUUUAUUGUGUACAAGUUCUACCAUAUGCCAUAAUAGAUAUUUUCAUGUUCACUCUUGCCAUCGUACCAUAAAGACUUUCUCCCUUCAUCCAACCAAUUUUCGUUCUCUCAUGAGAGUAGAUUCAAUUUUGACUUGUGGUCUAAGGAGUUAUCAAACUUUUAAUAUGUACCAUUUUUAGAAGGUUGUAAUUUGAAGUAUAGUUCACUAUGUUAUUGAAUUGAUGAACGGGCAGGGAAGAAUGUGGUUGCAAUCCUGUGCGGUAUUUUUGCAUCAUAUCAAUGCAAAGAUCUGGGAGUGGAUGGUUAGAGGCACUUUUGAAUAGUCACAUUAAUAUAAGUUCCAAUGGGGAGAUAUUUUCUAAACACAAAAGAAGGGGAAGUGUUUCAUCAAUUUUAAAGACAAUGGACAAGGUGUAUAAUCUUGACUACUUUACAAGUGCUUCCAAGAAUCAGUGCAAUGCAGCUGUAGGCUUCAAGUGGAUGCUUAAUCAGGUAGGGUUUGAUGGCCCAUCAUGAGGAGAUAGUGGAAUACAUCCAAAGAAAAGGAGUUUCUGUAAUAUUCCUAUUAAGAAGGAAUUUCCUACGUAGAAUAGUAUCUUUGUUAGCAAAUUCCUAUGACAAAUAUGCCAAGCAACUCAAUGGAACCCACAAAUCUCAUGUCCCAUCCACAACAGAGGUAUCUUUCUUGUCCUUAAUCUUAUGUUCUAACUUAAUUGGUUUCAUCCUACUAUAUAUUGCAGGCUGAAGUUCUUGCCAAAUACAAACCAUUGAUCAAGACCACAUCACUAAUGGCAGAGCUAAAGCAAACAGAGGAGACAGUUGCAAAAGCCAUUGAAUACUUUAACAACACUCGCCACAUUGUUCUCUACUACG